GCCCUCAUAGCAUAGUGGUUAAGUACUAUGGCUGCUAACCAAGAGGCUGGUGGUUCGAAUCCACCAGGCA
This 70-nucleotide transfer RNA is filed under the name Loxodonta africana (African savanna elephant). It matches the Rfam family "tRNA". Rfam says of the family: Transfer RNA (tRNA) molecules are approximately 80 nucleotides in length. Their secondary structure includes four short double-helical elements and three loops (D, anti-codon, and T loops). Lineage: Eukaryota; Metazoa; Chordata; Mammalia; Proboscidea; Elephantidae. The record is from Rfam by way of RNAcentral.